GGCUGGGGGCGGCACAUCUGUUAAAUGAUAACGCAGGUGUCCAAAGAUGAGCUCAAUGAGAACAGAAAUCUCAUGUAGAACAAAAGGGUAAAAGCUCAUUUGAUUUUGAUUUUCAGUAGUAAUUCAAACCGUGAAAGCGUGGCCUAUCGAUCCUUUAGAUUUUUUAUUAUAGAUUUUAAGCUAGAGGUGUCAGAAAAGUUACCACAGGGAUAACUGGCUUGUGGCUGCCAAGCGUUCAUAGCGACGUAGCUUUUUGAUCCUUCGAUGUCGGCUCUUCCUAUCAUUGCGAAGCAGAAUUCGCCAAGUGUUGGAUUGUUCACCCACUAAUAGGGAACGUGAGCUGGGUUAGACCGUCGUGAGACAGGUUAGUUUUUACCCUACUGAUGAUUAACACACCACCCAUUGUUACAAUAGUAAUGCAACUCAGUACGAG
This 433-nucleotide ribosomal RNA is filed under the name uncultured eukaryote. RNAcentral describes it as "eukaryotic LSU rRNA". It matches the Rfam family "Eukaryotic large subunit ribosomal RNA", at positions 2621 to 3038 of the family's 3401-position model. The record is from RNAcentral.